AAGGGAGACCUAAUUCAGGUAGGAGACGAAAAAAAAGUAGUCCCAACCAAGAAUCAAUCCCAAAAGGUCGGAGCGAGGCGAAAUUGGCUUUCAAACUAGGUUCUGGGUUCACACAAGACCUGAAUCAGGAACAAGGGCUAUUAGCUCAGGUGGUUAGAGCGCACCCCUGAUAAGGGUGAGGUCCCUGGUUCGAGUCCAGGAUGGCCCACCUGCACAGGUGGCAAAAACAAGAGAAGCGAGGAAUCAGCACCUUAUCUUAUCUAUAUAUAAGAGAGAAUGCUGGCUCUGAGUAAAGAGUCCAGAGGAACCUUGAAAACUGCAUGGAGCUGGGUGAAAAAGCCAAAAAAGAAGACCGCAA
RNAcentral lists this transfer RNA (358 nucleotides) under uncultured Microcystis sp. Its description in RNAcentral is "partial 16S-23S ribosomal RNA intergenic spacer". The stretch from base 135 to 208 matches the Rfam family "tRNA". Lineage: Bacteria; Bacillati; Cyanobacteriota; Cyanophyceae; Chroococcales; Microcystaceae. The record is from RNAcentral.